Molecule: ribosomal RNA, 485 nt
Filed under: uncultured bacterium
Lineage: Bacteria
Description: partial 16S ribosomal RNA
Rfam family: Bacterial small subunit ribosomal RNA
Source: RNAcentral
AUUGAACGCUGGCGGCAGGCCUAACACAUGCAAGUCGAGCGGAUGAAGGGAGCUUGCUCCUGGAUUCAGCGGCGGACGGGUGAGUAAUGCCUAGGAAUCUGCCUGGUAGUGGGGGAUAACGUCCGGAAACGGGCGCUAAUACCGCAUACGUCCUGAGGGAGAAAGUGGGGGAUCUUCGGACCGCACGCUAUCAGAUGAGCCUAGGUCGGAUUAGCUAGUUGGUGGGGUAAAGGCCUACCAAGGCGACGAUCCGUAACUGGUCUGAGAGGAUGAUCAGUCACCCUGGAACUGAGACCCGGUCCAGACUCCUACGGGAGGCAGCAGUGGGGAAUAUUGGACAAUGGGCGAAAGCCUGAUCCAGCCAUGCCGCGUGUGUGAAGAAGGUCUUCGGAUUGUAAAGCACUUUAAGUUGGGAGGAAGGGCAGUAAGUUAAUACCGUGCUGUUUUGACGUUAACAACAGAAUAAGCACCGGCUAACCUAGUGC